This 924-nucleotide small RNA is filed under the name Pan troglodytes (chimpanzee). Its description in RNAcentral is "processed transcript". The record is from RNAcentral. Lineage: Eukaryota; Metazoa; Chordata; Mammalia; Primates; Hominidae.
GGUCAGGAAAGCUCAGGCAAGCCCACCCUCAGGCACUACAGCCAGACUCCGAGCUUACUGGGCAGUCAUCUGAUUCGACCAACAUCAGUUCGCAGGGCUUAAGCCCAGUCCCUUAGGGCGGCCUGGGGAGGGGCCAGGCCCAAGUAUAUAAAGCUCCCUGAGGGUCCGCGUUGGCUUUGCGCCUGUGAGUGUGAUUCAAGAACGUCCCAGUGCCCUUGGCUCUUUUCGGAGUGUGACCCCGGGCUUGCACGGGACACGUUACCCAGCUCGGGUGAGAAGGGUAUCUUCCGGGACCCUCGCCUUUAAUAGCACAACGAGCGCAGAGUCCACUGGAUCUGCGAGAAGAAACCGCGCUAACUAGUUUGUCCCUACGGCCGCCUCGUAGUCACUGCCGCGACGCCUUGAGUCUCCGCGCCGCAUUGCCAUGGCUGCCCGUGGUGUCAUCGCUCCAGUUGGCGAGAGUUCGCGCUACGCUGAGUACUUGCAGCCCUCGGCCAAACGGCCCGACGCCGACGUCGACCAGCAGGGACUGGUAAGAAGUUUGAUAGCUGUAGGACUGGGUGUUGCAGCUCUUGCAUUUGCAGGUCGCUACGCAUUUCGGAUCUGGAAACCUCUAGAACAAGUUAUCACAGAAACUGCAAAGAAGAUUUCAACUCCUAGCUUUUCAUCCUACUAUAAAGGAGGAUUUGAACAGAAAAUGAGUAGGCGAGAAGCUGGUCUUAUUUUAGGUGUAAGGUAGGUGUGCAGCAUAAGUAUUGUUUUGUUGUGUGACCAAGCUUGUCUUUAAAAAAGAGAAAACGUUACAAUAAGGUUAUACUUACACUUAAAAUUAUGAGUAGGUGGCAGAGGAGAAAAUAUCAAAUUUUUAUAUUUUAAAGCCUCAAAUCUAAAAGUAUCCCACUCCCCUAAAAAAACAAAACAAAA